Molecule: ribosomal RNA, 497 nt
Filed under: uncultured bacterium
Lineage: Bacteria
Description: partial 16S ribosomal RNA
Rfam family: Bacterial small subunit ribosomal RNA
Source: RNAcentral
GAUGAACGCUGGCGGCGUGCCUAAUACAUGCAAGUCGAGCGAACGGACGAGAAGCUUGCUUCUCUGAUGUUAGCGGCGGACGGGUGAGUAACACGUGGAUAACCUACCUAUAAGACUGGGAUAACUUCGGGAAACCGUAGCUAAUACCGGAUAAUAUUUUGAACCGCAUGGUUCAAGAGUGAAAGACGGUCUUGCUGUCACUUAUAGAUGUAUCCGCGCUGCAUUAGCUAGUUGGUAAGGUAACGGCUUACCAAGGCAACGAUGCAUAGCCGCCUGGAGAGGGUGACCGGCCAAACUGGAACUGAGCCACGGUCCAGACUCCUACGGGAGGAAGCAGUAGGGAAUCUUCCGCAAUGGGCGAAAGCCUGACGGAGCAACGCCGCGGGAGUGAGGAAGGUCUUCGGAUCGUAAAACUCUGUUAUUAGGGAAGAACAUAUGUGUAAGUAACUGUGCACAUCUUGACGGUACCUAAUCAGAAAGCCACGGCUAACUACGUG